UUCCUUAUUUUUUUCUCUUUAAAUUCUUUAAAGAAAGUUUUCUGUCUUCCUUUUAUGGAUUUCUAUGAGACCUUUGUCUUUCAUUCACCUGCCGCUAUGUCGGUUUCUUCUGCGCCUUUCGAUCGGGGAGAACCUCCUUUUCAUCACUUGGAGGGUGAGUCUUUGAGUGGUUUUUAAGUUUUUUCUUUUAUUUUUCUUUUCUGUUUCUUUUGACAAAUUGUGCAAAUNNNNNNNNNNNNNNNNNNNNNNNNNNUUUUUCUCUUUCUUGUAAUUGCUUUGUUUGUUUUAUCCAAAUUGAUGUUCCUUCAUUGUCCAAGAUCCAUGAGAAGCUGGCUCGUAGAGCAUGGCCUUAGAAGGCACAAUUGAAACGCCAAAGAGCACACCCACGCCAAAGAGCACACCCCCUUCUCCUUCAGCGGCAACUCAUUGAUCCGUAAAAGUCUUUGUAUGCAAGUUUGAAGGUUCACAAAUUUAUUUUUUAUACAUAUUGUCAUCCUUCGACGAAGGGAGGUAUGACAGUGACUUGCAUAAUAAUGCUCGAAAAAUGCAAUUGGGUCACUAAAAAGGAUA
This 570-nucleotide long non-coding RNA is filed under the name Manihot esculenta (cassava). RNAcentral describes it as "long non-coding RNA (MESC_LNC006618)". The record is from RNAcentral. Lineage: Eukaryota; Viridiplantae; Streptophyta; Magnoliopsida; Malpighiales; Euphorbiaceae.